Molecule: transfer RNA, 72 nt
Filed under: Neotoma lepida (desert woodrat)
Lineage: Eukaryota; Metazoa; Chordata; Mammalia; Rodentia; Cricetidae
Rfam family: tRNA
About the family: Transfer RNA (tRNA) molecules are approximately 80 nucleotides in length. Their secondary structure includes four short double-helical elements and three loops (D, anti-codon, and T loops). Further hydrogen bonds mediate the characteristic L-shaped molecular structure. tRNAs have two regions of fundamental functional importance: the anti-codon, which is responsible for specific mRNA codon recognition, and the 3' end, to which the tRNAs corresponding amino acid is attached (by aminoacyl-tRNA synthetases). tRNAs cope with the degeneracy of the genetic code in two manners: having more than one tRNA (with a specific anti-codon) for a particular amino acid; and 'wobble' base-pairing, i.e. permitting non-standard base-pairing at the 3rd anti-codon position.
Source: Rfam by way of RNAcentral
GCUUGUAUGGAUUAGUGGUACAGUGUCUGCCUGCCAUGCAUAAGGCUCUGGGUUCAAUUCCCAGCACACACA